This is a long non-coding RNA of Archocentrus centrarchus (flier cichlid), 599 nucleotides long. RefSeq lists it as uncharacterized. The record is from RefSeq and is a predicted model, not a curated record. NCBI's taxonomy places the organism in Eukaryota, Metazoa, Chordata, Actinopteri, Cichliformes, Cichlidae. The transcript is spliced from 5 exons.
CCGUUCAGUUCCUUCACCUCCCUGGAGGAGGACUCCCGGGGAAAGAGCAUGCCGCCGUCCAGCGGGAACACCGUGUCAAACACGGCGAGCAGCCACAAAACACGGAGCACCGCGAAGCUUCCAGGGCAGACUGUGGUGUCCAUGAUCAUUGCUGGGUGAAAGUGAUGCUGCUGACUAAACCCUGGAAUACACUUUCUGUGCCCCAGCAGAUGUAAAUUUCAUCAUUAGAUGAGCUGGUCAUCACCUCUAGGAUAAACUGGAAACCUACGACUUCAGAUUUACCUGCCUGCUCACCCUCUCGACUCAUCGGCAGAUCCCAAUCUGGCAGCAGCUCCUUCCUUGGUAAAAACAUUCCAAUGAACCAUCAUUCCCACACCUCUCUGGACAAUUUUUGGAACAAACAAAUUGCCUUCCUCCGACCCGUGCAGUUACCUCAGUUCCCCCCGAGUUCCCGUGCUGCUUCCGAUUCUCCAGAUGUUGAAUAAAAGUGUUUAAACUUUCAUUCUUAGUGGUCUCAUUGGGUCCUGCAUUUGAGACAAUUCAAUCUUUAACACUAUUGUCUUGACUGAAUCCACUUUUCACUGAGUUCUGUGUACAUG